CAGCAGCCGCGGUAAUACGAAGGGUGCGAGCGUUACUCGGAAUUACUGGGCGUAAAGCGUGUGUAGGUGGUUGUUUAAGUCUGUCGUGAAAGCCCUGGGCUCAACCUGGGAAUUGCGAUGGAUACUGGGCGACUAGAGUGCGGUAGAGGAUAGUGGAAUUUCCGGUGUAGCAGUGAAAUGCGUAGAGAUCGGAAGGAACAUCUGUGGCGAAGGCGACUAUCUGGGCCAACACUGACACUGAGACACGAAAGCGUGGGGAGCAAACAGGAUUAGAUACCCCCGUAGUCCCUGUCUCUUAUAC
RNAcentral lists this ribosomal RNA (301 nucleotides) under uncultured bacterium. Its description in RNAcentral is "partial 16S ribosomal RNA". It matches the Rfam family "Bacterial small subunit ribosomal RNA", at positions 509 to 807 of the family's 1533-position model. The record is from RNAcentral.